This is an RNA transcript of Tachysurus fulvidraco (yellow catfish), 4118 nucleotides long. It is a transcript of the gene named low-density lipoprotein receptor-related protein 8-like, with no coding region annotated. The transcript has 19 exons. NCBI's taxonomy places the organism in Eukaryota, Metazoa, Chordata, Actinopteri, Siluriformes, Bagridae. The record is from RefSeq and is a predicted model, not a curated record.
CACAGAGACACCCACAGAGACACACACACACACACACACACACACACACACACACACACACACACACACACACACACACACACACACACACAGAGGGGGUGUGCAGGAGACGGAGGUUCGCUCUAACCGGGAUUUCUCCCUUUGUUUUGUGGAUGAACGCCGUGAUACCGAGAUGUGGACCUUUUUAGGACGAAUAAUAUGUUUUCAGUUGCUCACUAUGCAGCCUUACUGCGGAAAAGGGUCUGAGACGGAGUGUGAAGACGGACAGUUUCAGUGCAAAAACAAGAGGUGCAUCCCGACUUUAUGGAGAUGUGACGAUGACGACGACUGUUCUGACAACAGCGACGAGGAAGAGUGUCUGAAGAGCACAUGUGACCCGGCGGAGUUUGCGUGUCAGAACGGACAGUGUGUGUCCAGCCGCUGGCUCUGCGACGGAGAACCCGAGUGCUCGGACGGAUCAGACGAGGCCGAGUCCACCUGCACCGUGAAACAGACAUGUCCUCCAGACAAGUUUGACUGCAGAGGGACCUGCGUGUCUCCAGCAUGGAAGUGUGAUGGAGAGAAAGACUGUGAGAGUGGAGCUGAUGAAGAAGACUGCGCUGCCGAUGCUCGCUCCUGUGCUUCCGGAGAGUUCCAGUGUCGUAACCUGAAGUGCAUGUCUCCGGCAUACGUGUGCGAUGGCGAUGACGACUGUGGCGACGGCACCGACGAGGAGCAGUGUUCUCCGCCAUCGUGCGGUCCGCUCCAGUUCCGCUGUAACAGCUCCGAGUGCAUCCCGCAGCCCUGGACCUGCGACAGAGACCCCGACUGCUUCGACGGGUCAGACGAGUGGGAGGGGCUGUGCGGCGAUGCAGACGGCCGAACGCUAGCGCCAGCGGUUCUCAGGGUGGAGUGCGGUGCCGGAAUGUUCCGCUGUGGGAGUGGAGAGUGCAUCAAGCUCGCGUGGAGGUGUGAUAAAGAUCCAGACUGUGUGGACAGAUCAGACGAGUCGGACUGCCCUCUCCUGACGUGCAGGCCUGAUGAGUUCCAGUGUGGUGACGGCUCCUGCAUUCACGGUAUCAAGCAGUGCAAUAAAGCCUUUGACUGUCUCGACCGGAGUGAUGAGGCUGGCUGUGUUAAUGCCACAAAAUGUGAAGGACCUCUGAAGUUCCUCUGUAGAAAUGGAGAGUGUAUUGACGGAGCAAAGGUGUGUGAUGAUGUCAAGGACUGCAAGGAUCGAUCAGACGAGCCCAAGAGGGAAUGUGGUUUAAACGAAUGCACGAUGAACAACGGCGGCUGUUCUCAUAUCUGUGUGGAUCGACCCAUUGGCUACGAGUGUCAGUGUCCUGCUGGAUACAAACUCCUGGACAAAAGGACAUGCGGAGACAUAGACGAGUGUGAGAACCCAGACGCCUGCAGUCAGAUCUGCAUCAACCUCAAAGGAGAUUUUAAGUGUGAAUGUCACUCAGGCUACGAGAUGGACCCCGUGAGCAGAACCUGCAAGGCGGAGGGUAAAAGUCCCUUUCUGAUGUUCACCAACCGACACGAGAUCCGGCGCAUUGACCUGGUGAAGCGGGAGUACACGCAGGUCGUCCCGACUCAGAAGAACGCCGUGGCCAUCGACGUGGACGUCACCUCCAACCGCAUGUACUGGUGCGACCGCUUCCAUCGCAAGAUCUACAGCGCCUACAUCCAUGAGGCGAGUGACCCGGCCCGUCACAUGACUCUGAUCGACACGGGCCUGCUUUCCCCAGAGGGUCUGGCUUUUGACUGGGUCCAACACAACCUCUACUGGACUGACUCGGGUCACGGCACCAUCUCCGUUGCUUCGUCUGUCGGCAGCAGGAGGCGUGUCCUGAUUCGCACCGAACUGAGUGAACCGAGGGCCAUUGCUGUGGCUCCGGAGCAAGGGUUCAUGUUCUGGUCCGAUUGGGGAACGAGGCCCAAGAUAGAGAAGGCUGGAAUGAACGGCGUGGACCGACAGGUUUUAGUGUCUGAGGGCAUCGAAUGGCCCAACGGCAUCACACUGGACGUGGUGGGGAAGCGACUGUACUGGGUGGACUCAAAGCUCCAUCUGAUCUCCAGCGUGGACUUUAAUGGAGCUCAGCGCAGAGUGAUUCUGUCGUCUAGCGAGAGGCUCGGCCAUCCAUAUGCUCUCGCCGUGUUCGAGGAUCGCGUGUACUGGACGGACCGUGAGAAGGAAGCCGUGUACAGUGCGAACAGACUCACCGGGCAGGAUGUCACCAGCCUCGCUGAACGCCUCAAAGAUCCACAUGAUAUAGUGGUGUUCCAUCAGCUCAGUCAGCCCCAAGCUGCAGACAGUUGUGACCUGGCCGGUAUGAGUAACGGUGGUUGUGCCUUCCUGUGUCUGCGCGCUCCUCAGAUCAGCGCUCACUCCCCCAAGUACACAUGUGCCUGUCCUGACGGCGAGGAGCUGAGCCCUGACACGCGACUGUGUGUCGCCAUCCAGAAUGUCACCGUCACACCGACGUUCCCCAGCUUUCCUCUGAACAGCAGCACUGUGGAGUCAGAGGCAGUGACAGAGGCAGUGACGGAGGCAGGCAUGGACACUGUGAACUCAGAGGUCUCGUUCGUCUCAGAGGUUGUGACCUUUAAAGAGAACGUCGUUCCAUCAGAACCAACGCUGAACGUAACAGUGGCAUCCACACACAUCCCCACUGUGCUGCUGAGCACAACUACAGGAGAGACCACUAACCUGUCCCAUCACUCGGGAAAUGAGUUGUAUCUUCUGGGACACAGUGUACCUGUGGCUGUGCUCGGAGUUGGAAUUCCCAUUGUGGCGUUUGUGCUGCUUCUCUCUGCUUCCUGUCUGAUUUAUCGUAACUGGAGGCUCAGGAGCACCAAGAGUAUGAACUUUGACAACCCCGUGUACCGGAAGAGCACCGGAGAAACCGAGGAGGAUGAGAUCCACAUCGGGAGGAGCGAGGGGCUCGCCACACACCAACACCCUUACCCAGUGCCUGCGGUCGGCACGGCGACGUGUCCGCCGUUCAUCGCUCUUCCUCUGGGUGGCACUGUUACGGAUCCGGUCCCUCACUGGUACACAGAGCCACCCACCAUCACCAGCACCAAGUGAGGGUUUCCAUGGGAACAGUGUUUAAAGUGUGUCAUGAGACACUGAGCUAAAUCCUGAGUGUCAAAAGUUUGUACACCCACUAGAUGAUACGUAGCAGGGAUGUGUAUCUCUGGAACGAUUCGAUGUGUGAAUGAAGACAUGUAAAGAAAGCAGUGAUGUAAACGACUAGAGACGCAGCGCUGCAGAGACACAGUAGCCCCGCCCCCUUUACUCAGGAGAGAGAGAGCUAAAUAAAUAAAUAUAAAUUAGCUGAGCACGGUGACAAACAUAUCGAUUCGCUCACCGUCACUGAGACGGGAGAGACGUGUGCUCACACACACACGACGGGAGGGGCUCCAGAUCUGUAGAAGUUACUCAACACAGCAUCGUCUUGUGAGUAAGAAAGUUUCACCAUAAACAAUCAUGGAGGUCUUGAUGGAUUUAUAAAACCUAUGCAACAGCAGGCUGCUGCAGGAAAUAACGUCUUUACACUAAGCAUUUUUAUUUAAUGACAUUAAACACAUAAUCAGCUUUUAUUUUUGUCCUAGUGACUGCAGAAAAAACACUAACGGAUAUUUCUGCCUUCGUCGGCCAAAAACGUGCUUUUACACGUGUCAUGACGUCCAACAGGGGUUUUGUAAAACCCUCAAACUGUAAUCUCUCUCUCUCUCUCUCUCUCUCUCUCUCUCUCUCUCUCUCUCUCUCUCUCUCUCCUUCUCUCUCCCUCUCUAUCCCCUUUCUCUCUCUCGUUUCUUCCAGACUGCAGUAAAGGAGGCAGAAUUAGCGCUGCGUCGACAGCUACAUUAGCAGUGUAAUAAAAUUGAGACGUUGUUAGUCAGUCAGUGGAACACUGCGUGUGUUGUGUUGAUGAAACCUGUUUACAGGAAACAGGAAGUACACAGAAGGUUCUUUACCUCAUGUGUGGACUGAAUGAAGUGUGCAGUAUUGUCUCAGGGAGUUGGUACACUGUGUGUGUGUGUGUGUGUGUGUGUGUGUGUGUGUGUGUGUGUGUGUGUGUGUGUGUGUGUGUGUGUGUGUGUGUGUGUGUGUGUGUGUGUGUGUG